RNAcentral lists this long non-coding RNA (755 nucleotides) under Canis lupus familiaris (dog). Its description in RNAcentral is "lncRNA (ENSCAFG00030021061.1)". The record is from RNAcentral. Lineage: Eukaryota; Metazoa; Chordata; Mammalia; Carnivora; Canidae.
AGUGAAAGAACUCAGAUGAUUCAUUUCUUCUGUAGUUUUUGUGAUAAUCAACGGGUCCUAACAUGCAAACGUUCGUUCUAUGAAAGCCUCUCUACAGGAGGAUCUGUGCAGAGUGAAAAAAUAGAAAGUCUGUGAAGUUUUUGUGUUACUUUUGUCACCCAAGUGCAAUUCCUCAAAAAGCUGAAAUUAAUUAAAACGACAGGGCCCUUGUCUGCAAAUGGCUGCAGCUAUUCAAAGGUAUGUGUGAUGGGUUCCAUACCUGGGGGUGACAUCCAGAUGCCGACCCCAGGGCCUACGGAUGGGACCUCACUCUGCAGAUUAUCACAUCAAGAUGAGAUCCCGUGGGUGGGCUCCAACCCCGGGAAACCGCGUCCUUUUAAGACACAUAGAGAGAUGUUGCUGCCCGGUUUUGACGUCAACACAUCACUUAGUCCUGCAGAAGCACACCUGGAAGCUCUCUCUGUCUCUGCAGUCUGGGACCGUUCAAAGGACAUUUUGAACUCAAGUGUCUCGGAACAGUUUGAUCCUACAUCCCCUGUGGGACCAUCUGAGCCAAGAUGCCUUAGAAAGGACAGUCUUCACACAGGGCUUGCAGCUUUGGUCCGACGAGUCAACUCGUCGGAGCAUUGAGGGCUGUUUUCAUGUUCCAAAUAUUUUAUAGUUCAUUUAAUUCCCCUAACUUUUGCUUUCUCAUUUUUAUUCUGUGCAUUUCUUGUACUUUCUUCCAUCAUAUUUAGCUAUAUAUUAGCUGAGAA